AUUGAACGCUGGCGGCAGGCUUAACACAUGCAAGUCGAGCGGGGAAGGGUAGCUUGCUACCUGACCUAGCGGCGGACGGGUGAGUAAUGCUUAGGAAUCUGCCUAUUAGUGGGGGACAACAUUCCGAAAGGAAUGCUAAUACUGCAUACGCCCUACGGGGGAAAGCAGGGGAUCUUCGGACCUUGCGCUAAUAGAUGAGCCUAAGUCAGAUUAGCUAGUUGGUGGGGUAAAGGUCUACCAAGGCGACGAUCUGUAGCGGGUCUGAGAGGAUGAUCCGCCACACUGGGACUGAGACACGGCCCUGACUCCUACGGUAGGCAGCAGUGGGGAAUAUUGGACAAUGGGCGCAAGCCUGAUCCAGCCAUGCCGCGUGUGUGAAGAAGGCCUUUUGGUUGUAAAGCACUUUAAGCGAGGAGGAGGCUACUUGGAUUAAUACUCUAGGAUAGUGGACGUUACUCGCAGAAUAAGCACCGGCUAACUCUGUGCCAGCCGCCGCGGUAA
This 501-nucleotide ribosomal RNA is filed under the name uncultured bacterium. RNAcentral's name for it is "partial 16S ribosomal RNA". It matches the Rfam family "Bacterial small subunit ribosomal RNA", at positions 30 to 523 of the family's 1533-position model. The record is from RNAcentral.